This is a long non-coding RNA of Episyrphus balteatus (marmalade hoverfly), 525 nucleotides long. RefSeq lists it as uncharacterized. The record is from RefSeq and is a predicted model, not a curated record. The transcript has 3 exons. Lineage: Eukaryota; Metazoa; Arthropoda; Insecta; Diptera; Syrphidae.
GCAUCAGAAAAGUAUAGCAGACCGAAGGAGCCAUCAAACAAAAAGUGAUGUCAUAAAAUUAUGCUUAAUGUUGCCGAAAUUGCUGUUUUCGGGAGAUAAGUCCAUAAAGUAAAUUACGGUGUAAUUGAAUGUGCUGCUGGUUCUAUAUACCCUCUAUACCUCUGCUAUGCGAUGUGCUCUCAACACUAUGAAAAUAACGAACAACGGUUCGGUUGAGAGGGACCUUUAUGUUUUCCAUAUUUCUCUCGAAAACGGGAUAAAUGGAAACGGAGUAUGUCAGUUGUUAGGGUGAUUGCUCAAGAUUGUCAGAGUUUGAAGGGCGAAUGAGAAGCGUGCAGAUCGAUAGAUUUUUGGGUGAAAUGAAGUUUAAGAGUUUUUAAAACGUCUGCUUUAACAAAUAUCUUACUGCGGAAGGUUGAAACUUUGUUGGUGUGAUGGAAGAAGUGCUUCUAAAAGGAAAAACUAAAGUGAUGGACAGUCAAGUUUUAUUAAAAAUUACAAAUUGAUCAGAAGGAAAUUGAAUUG